UGGGGAAUUUUCCGCAGUGGGCGAAAGCCUGACGGAGCAAUGCCGCGUGGAGGUGGAAGGCCUACGGGUCGUCAACUUCUUUUCUCGGAGAAGAAACAAUGACGGUAUCUGAGGAAUAAGCAUCGGCUAACUCUGUGCCCG
RNAcentral lists this ribosomal RNA (141 nucleotides) under uncultured bacterium. RNAcentral's name for it is "partial 16S rRNA". It matches the Rfam family "Bacterial small subunit ribosomal RNA", at positions 355 to 511 of the family's 1533-position model. The record is from RNAcentral.